Molecule: ribosomal RNA, 253 nt
Filed under: uncultured bacterium
Lineage: Bacteria
Description: partial 16S ribosomal RNA
Rfam family: Bacterial small subunit ribosomal RNA
Source: RNAcentral
AACGUAGGACGCGAGCGUUAUCCGGAGUUACUGGGCGUAAAGCGCGUGCAGGCGGUCUGACAAGUCUGAUGUGAAAUCUCCGGGCUCAACCGGGAGAGGCCAUUGGAAACUGACAGGCUGGAGGGCAGUAGAGGUAGGCGGAAUUCCGGGUGGAGUGGUGAAAUGCGUAGAGAUCCGGAGGAACACCAGAGGCGAAGGCGGCCUACUGGGCUGCACCUGACGCUGAGCCGCGAAAGCCAGGGGAGCGAACGGG